Molecule: ribosomal RNA, 773 nt
Filed under: uncultured bacterium
Lineage: Bacteria
Description: bacterial SSU rRNA
Rfam family: Bacterial small subunit ribosomal RNA
Source: RNAcentral
AGAGUUUGAUCCUGGCUCAGGACGAACGCUGGCGGCGUGCUUAACACAUGCAAGUCGAACGGAAAGGCCCUUCGGGGUACCCGAGUGGCGAACGGGUGAGUAACACGUGGGUGAUCUGCCCUGCACUUUGGGAUAAGCCUGGGAAACUGGGUCUAAUACCGAAUAGGACCGCGCGCUUCAUGGUGUGUGGUGGAAAGCUUUUGCGGUGUGGGAUGGGCCCGCGGCCUAUCAGCUUGUUGGUGGGGUAAUGGCCUACCAAGGCGACGACGGGUAGCCGGCCUGAGAGGGUGACCGGCCACACUGGGACUGAGAUACGGCCCAGACUCCUACAGGAGGCAGCAGUGGGGAAUAUUGCACAAUGGGCGCAAGCCUGAUGCAGCGACGCCGCGUGAGGGAUGACGGCCUUCGGGUUGUAAACCUCUUUCACCAGGGACGAAGCGCAAGUGACGGUACCUGGAGAAGAAGCACCGGCCAACUACGUGCCAGCAGCCGCGGUAAUACGUAGGGUGCGAGCGUUGUCCGGAAUUACUGGGCGUAAAGAGCUCGUAGGUGGUUUGUCGCGUUGUUCGUGAAAACUCACAGCUUAACUGUGGGCGUGCGGGCGAUACGGGCAGACUAGAGUACUGCAGGGGAGACUGGAAUUCCUGGUGUAGCGGUGGAAUGCGCAGAUAUCAGGAGGAACACCGGUGGCGAAGGCGGGUCUCUGGGCAGUAACUGACGCUGAGGAGCGAAAGCGUGGGGAGCGAACAGGAUUAGAUACCCUGGUAGUCCAA